This 165-nucleotide non-coding RNA is filed under the name uncultured Methanomethylophilus sp. The record is from RNAcentral. Lineage: Archaea; Methanobacteriati; Thermoplasmatota; Thermoplasmata; Methanomassiliicoccales; Methanomethylophilaceae.
UCCGCGAGGAUGGAUCUGAAGGAAGGAGGAGGCAAAACCGCGAGUCGAUGAACAAGAACCACAUGGUAGGCGUCAGGACAUGGACGAGUCCCCGACUAUGAUUAAGUCCCAGACUGCACGGAUUGUCCUGGUGUAAAUGUGGCGGCUGCAUGCGGUGAAAGAUUU